Molecule: ribosomal RNA, 497 nt
Filed under: uncultured bacterium
Lineage: Bacteria
Description: partial 16S ribosomal RNA
Rfam family: Bacterial small subunit ribosomal RNA
Source: RNAcentral
GAUGAACGCUGGCGGCGUGCCUAAUACAUGCAAGUCGAGCGAACGGACGAGAAGCUUGCUUCUCUGAUGUUAGCGGCGGACGGGUGAGUAACACGUGGAUAACCUCCCUAUAAGACUGGGAUAACUUCGGGAAACCGGAGCUAAUACCGGAUAAUAUUUUGAACCGCAGGGUUCAAAAGUGAAAGACGGUCUUGCUGUCACUUAUAGAUGGAUCCGCGCUGCAUGAGCUAGUUGGUAAGGUAACGGCUUACCAAGGCAACGAUGCAUAGCCGACCUGAGAGGGUGAUCGGCAACCCUGGAACUGGACCACGGACCAGACUCCUACGGGAGGCAGCAGUAGGGAAUCGUCCGCAAUGGGCGAAAGCAUGACGGAGCAACGCCGCGUGAGUGAUGAAGGUCUUCGGAUCGUAAAACUCUGUUAUUAGGGAAGAACAUAUGUGUAAGUAACUGUGCACAUCUUGACGGUACCUAAUCAGAAAGCCACGGCUAACUACGUG